ACUCCUACGGGAGGCAGCAGUGGGGAAUUUUGGACAAUGGGCGCAAGCCUGAUCCAGCCAUGCCGCGUGCAGGAUGAAGGCCUUCGGGUUGUAAACUGCUUUUGUACGGAACGAAAAGACUCUGGUUAAUACCUGGGGUCCAUGACGGUACCGUAAGAAUAAGCACCGGCUAACUACGUGCCAGCAGCCGCGGUAAU
RNAcentral lists this ribosomal RNA (197 nucleotides) under uncultured bacterium. RNAcentral describes it as "partial 16S ribosomal RNA". It matches the Rfam family "Bacterial small subunit ribosomal RNA", at positions 335 to 524 of the family's 1533-position model. The record is from RNAcentral.